CCACAACUGGGGGAUAGCCCGGCGAAAGCUGGGGUAAACCCGCAUGGUCCCAAGGAGUCACCUGGUUUUUUGGGUAAACAUUUAUGGGUUGUGGAGGGGCUUGCGUCUGAUUAGUUAGUUGGCAGGGUAACGGCCUACCAAGGCGAUGAUCAGUAGGGGUUCUGAGAGGAUUGGCCCCCACAUGGGUACUGAGAUACGGACCCAACUCCUACGGGAGGCAGCAGUAGGGAAUAUUGGGCAAUGGGCGGAAGCCUGACCCAGCCAUGCCGCGUGCAGGAUGAAGGCGCUCAGCGUUGUAAACUGCUUUUAUCUGGGAAGAACGGCAGUCCUGCGGGAUUGUGUGACGGUACCAGAGGAAUAAGCACCGGCUAACUCCGUGCCAGCAGCCGCGGUAAUACGGAGGGUGCAAGCGUUGUCCGGAUUUAUUGGGUUUAAAGGGUGCGUAGGUGGUUUAGUAAGUCUGGUUUGAAAGCUGGUCGCUUAACGAUCAGAUGUGGCUGGAAACUGCUGGACUUGAAUGCGGUGGCGGUAGCUGGAACGGGUCAUGUAGCGGUGAAAUGCAUAGAUAUGACCCAGAACCCCGAUUGCGAAGGCAGGCUAGCUACGUCC
This 609-nucleotide ribosomal RNA is filed under the name Spirosoma sp. 2.9. Its description in RNAcentral is "bacterial SSU rRNA". It matches the Rfam family "Bacterial small subunit ribosomal RNA", at positions 130 to 736 of the family's 1533-position model. The record is from RNAcentral. Lineage: Bacteria; Pseudomonadati; Bacteroidota; Cytophagia; Cytophagales; Cytophagaceae.